UAACUUCGAUAUUCUUACAUCGGAACGAUACCGAACUUAAAUAUCAUACUCCACAGUCGUAAAUAUAACCUCCCCAAAAUACGACUUAAAUCCUACGGCCGGAUUCUACAUUAAUUAACCGCCAAAAAUACCAAACUUCGGAAAUUCACAAACCUAUCCAAAUCUCAUCCAAAAAUUCCAUAAAUCACACCAAUAUACUCCUCUUAAUAUUCCACAUUUAAAACCCUAAAAAUCUCCUAACCGGCGGCGGCCGGCAGCCGUUUUCCGGCGACCUGCAAAUGCUACCAAAUUUUAACAGAAUCUUCCUCUCAAUCUCCUCUACAACUUUCAUGACUAACACAUCACCCAAUUCCAAACCUAACUAGGCUAAUCGAACGAAAACAACUUAAACACCAUAAAACUUCCACCUCAAAUUUCUCCUUACCUAGCUCAAGAGGGAGGGAGCUGUUUGGAGGGGUUGUUGCACGGGAGGAGGGCUACAAAACCGUACCAAGCUUGCCCGGAUUGGUGGCCGGAGGAGGAAGUUCCGGCGAAGGGAAGUUCGGGACAGCCCUUGCUUUCGGGCGGCACCGCUCUCUCACGGCGGCGCUAGGGCUCCUCUCACUGGUCUAGAAAUGUUGCUGGGAGGGAGACCGACCGAACGGGACCGGUGCGGCGGCGGUUGGUGGCCGGACGGCGGCGGGAGGGCGUCCGGAAAUUCUUCUGGGUGUAGAGAGAAGAAAAUCGGGUGGGAGGAGAGAGAAUCGGGAGAGAGGGAGAAGAGAAAAAAGAAAUGGGUUGGGCUCGGCCCAGCCGACCCAACACUCCUUUUAACCCAAAAUUCCAAAAUUCAACACCCCGAAAAAUAAUACCCGAAUAAAAAUUACCUUUUACUAGCUAAAAUUUACCAUUUUUACCGUCGUCGUAUUUUCCCCAUACGAAUUAUCCUCCGCACAUAAUCGUCCCCGAAACCCCUCUAGGGACCAAUUAAACUAUAUAUUCAAUGAUCGGGACGGUAAAAUUCUUAUUAUAAACACGCUAGUAAAUAAGGUAAAAAUAUAAGGGUCGGGAUGUGACAGUAAUUCUCGGCGUAGUUCCUUGUUUCAAUACUCAAAGUGUAAUCUAAACUCAGACCUCAUGUUUUCUUUUAUUAUCUAUUCAAUUACUUUAGUUUGUUUCCAUCUCUCUUAUUCGUUUGUGUUCAUGAGUUGGAUUUUUGAUUGAGUUUGUUCUUAUAAUCAUGAAAAUCAGAUCUGUACACUUGAGUUGUUGGUGUAAUUGAUGAUGCUUUUGAUGAUCUAAAUUAUGUUUAUAUGUGUGAUUGACAACUUAUGACUUGUUCUUAAUCAAUAUGUGCCAUUGUUUGUGUUAAGUCCGCGUCGGUAAACAUGAACUAGAAUGGUAAGGAGUUAUAGGUUGCAUGCUAGGAUGUCUUUGAAGUCCGCGUCGGUAAAUUACAUUCUAACAUGUUCA
This 1452-nucleotide long non-coding RNA is filed under the name Fragaria vesca (wild strawberry). RNAcentral describes it as "long non-coding RNA (FVES_LNC005209)". The record is from RNAcentral. Lineage: Eukaryota; Viridiplantae; Streptophyta; Magnoliopsida; Rosales; Rosaceae.